GAAUGCUGACAUAAGUAACGAUAAAGCGGGUGAAAAGCCCGCUCGCCGGAAGACCAAGGGUUCCUGUCCAACGUUAAUCGGGGCAGGGUGAGUCGACCCCUAAGGCGAGGCCGAAAGGCGUAGUCGAUGGGAAACGGGUUAAUAUUCCCGUACUUGGUGUUACUGCGAAGGGGGGACGGAGAAGGCUAUGUUGGCCGGGCGACGGUUGUCCCGGUUUAAGCGUGUAGGUGUGUGUUCCAGGUAAAUCCGGUUCACUUUAACACUGAGGCGUGAUGACGAGGCACUACGGUGCUGAAGCAACAAAUGCCCUGCUUCCAGGAAAAGCCUCUAAGCAUCAGGUAACAUCAAAUCGUACCCCAAACCGACACAGGUGGUCAGGUAGAGAAUACCAAGGCGCUUGAGAGAACUCGGGUGAAGGAACUAGGCAAAAUGGUGCCGUAACUUCGGGAGAAGGCACGCUGACACGUAGGUGAAGUGAUUUACUCAUGGAGCUGAAGUCAGUCGAAGAUACCAGCUGGCUGCAACUGUUUAUUAAAAACACAGCACUGUGCAAACACGAAAGUGGACGUAUACGGUGUGACGCCUGCCCGGUGCCGGAAGGUUAAUUGAUGGGGUCAGCGCAAGCGAAGCUCCUGAUCGAAGCCCCGGUAAACGGCGGCCGUAACUAUAACGGUCCUAAGGUAGCGAAAUUCCUUGUCGGGUAAGUUCCGACCUGCACGAAUGGCGUAAUGAUGGCCAGGCUGUCUCCACCCGAGACUCAGUGAAAUUGAACUCGCUGUGAAGAUGCAGUGUACCCGCGGCAAGACGGAAAGACCCCGUGAACCUUUACUAUAGCUUGACACUGAACAUUGAGCCUUGAUGUGUAGGAUAGGUGGGAGGCUUUGAAGUGUGGACGCCAGUCUGCAUGGAGCCGACCUUGAAAUACCACCCUUUAAUGUUUGAUGUUCUAACGUGGACCCGUAAUCCGGGUUGCGGACAGUGUCUGGUGGGUAGUUUGACUGGGGCGGUCUCCUCCUAAAGAGUAACGGAGGAGCACGAAGGUUGGCUAAUCCUGGUCGGACAUCAGGAGGUUAGUGCAAUGGCAUAAGCCAGCUUGACUGCGAGCGUGACGGCGCGAGCAGGUGCGAAAGCAGGUCAUAGUGAUCCGGUGGUUCUGAAUGGAAGGGCCAUCGCUCAACGGAUAAAAGGUACUCCGGGGAUAACAGGCUGAUACCGCCCAAGAGUUCAUAUCGACGGCGGUGUUUGGCACCUCGAUGUCGGCUCAUCACAUCCUGGGGCUGAAGUAGGUCCCAAGGGUAUGGCUGUUCGCCAUUUAAAGUGGUACGCGAGCUGGGUUUAGAACGUCGUGAGACAGUUCGGUCCCUAUCUGCCGUGGGCGCUGGAGAACUGAGGGGGGCUGCUCCUAGUACGAGAGGACCGGAGUGGACGCAUCACUGGUGUUCGGGUUGUCAUGCCAAUGGCACUGCCCGGUAGCUAAAUGCGGAAGAGAUAAGUGCUGAAAGCAUCUAAGCACGAAACUUGCCCCGAGAUGAGUUCUCCCUGAGACUUAAAGUCUCCUGA
RNAcentral lists this ribosomal RNA (1560 nucleotides) under Salmonella enterica subsp. enterica serovar Mikawasima. RNAcentral's name for it is "partial 23S ribosomal RNA". It matches the Rfam family "Bacterial large subunit ribosomal RNA", at positions 1292 to 2831 of the family's 2925-position model. Lineage: Bacteria; Pseudomonadati; Pseudomonadota; Gammaproteobacteria; Enterobacterales; Enterobacteriaceae. The record is from RNAcentral.